AGCAACACUUGACAUAGAGAGAUCCUCCAUAUUUGGGCAUGCAUUGGUUGAUCUUAUCACUUGUUUGCUAGUGACUUAACUUAUUCUUAAAGUCAUCAAUCAUUUUCUUGUUUUCACCCUCAUUCUUUUGCCCUAAAAUUCCAGCCAUUAAAAAGCUCAUCAUCUAAAAAGCAACGCUUCUUAAUUAUUCCAUUGGCAUAUAUUUCUUCUGGAAAUUCUGAUAAUAUCCUUCAAUUGCCAUUACCACAUCAGAUCAUGUGUUUUAAUUUAGGUUACAAUUUCAAGGAUGGAAAGUUCGUUCGUGUGAAGAAAGUUGACGAUGGUGAUGAUGAUGGAGAUGAGGAAUUAGAAGAUCAGAAGGGCUUGCUUUCCAAGGAAAUACUGAGAUGGAGGAAACAACAUGAUGCGUUAAAUACUCAAGUAGAAGAAGCAAAAGCAUCAUCUUUCCCCAGUAAACUUUCCAAGUGCAGUCAUCAUUCUCCCUCUUCUUCAUGAUCAUAUAUAUAUAUAUGCAAGUUUUCUCCUCAAAUAUGUAUCUGAAAGAACAGAACUUUCUGAUCCAGUGUUUGUGUGAGCUUUUUUAUUUUUCUGUUUUUCAGUGAUUUUAAUUUAUUCACCCUUGAUUUUAUUUUUUCUUUUUGGUAAAAUAAAAUUUAGGGUAAUUUAUAACAAAAUUCAUGAGGUUUUACAAAAUUUACAAUUUAAUCCUAUCAUUUUAGUAAUAAAUAAUAUAUUCUCUAACAUUUCUUUAUGUUAAUAAAAUAGUCUUUUUAUUGA
RNAcentral lists this long non-coding RNA (777 nucleotides) under Manihot esculenta (cassava). RNAcentral's name for it is "long non-coding RNA (MESC_LNC009547)". The record is from RNAcentral. Lineage: Eukaryota; Viridiplantae; Streptophyta; Magnoliopsida; Malpighiales; Euphorbiaceae.